RNAcentral lists this ribosomal RNA (416 nucleotides) under uncultured bacterium. RNAcentral's name for it is "bacterial SSU rRNA". It matches the Rfam family "Bacterial small subunit ribosomal RNA", at positions 355 to 787 of the family's 1533-position model. The record is from RNAcentral.
UGGGGAAUAUUGGACAAUGGGCGAAAGCCUGAUCCAGCAAUGCCGCGUGAGUGAUGAAGGCCCUAGGGUUGUAAAGCUCUUUUACCCGGGAUGAUAAUGACAGUACCGGGAGAAUAAGCCCCGGCUAACUCCGUGCCAGCAGCCGCGGUAAUACGGAGGGGGCUAGCGUUGUUCGGAUAUAUUGGGUUUAAAGGGGUGCGUAGGCGUCCUGACAAGUUUUAGGUGAAAUGCCCAGGCUUAACCUGGGAGCUGCCUGAAAAACUGUUGGGAUUGAGUACAGACGAGGUAGGCGGAAUUGACGGUGUAGCGGUGAAAUGCAUAGAUAUCGUCAGGAACACCGAUAGCGAAGGCAGCUUACUGGACGGUAACUGACGUUGAGGCUCGAAAGCGUGGGGAGCAAACAGGAUUAGAUACCC